UCGGAAGGAAAGAAGAGAGGAAGAAGGACAAGUGCAUGGAGAUUUAGACCGACAGACUUCGUCUUUCGAAAGGAGAUGCCGAAAUCUGCGUAACAAGCUGCAGAAUCUUUCCGACAUAAGCGUUAUUCCUGGUUGUUUGUUUCGAUAUCGACUACGAAGCCGUGUCGACGAAAGGUCGAUUUCUUGUUUCCUUUGCGGAGCAAGACGGAGGCGUUGCGACGUCUUCGUGGAAAAUCCUAGGUACGUGGGGUCCAUCUGAUAAACAAUCUCUUACAGAAUGUCAAAUCCGUGAAUCGGUUUUGGUUGAAGUAACGGAAUUCCCAAUGGAUCGAUUUAUCUUCGAGGGAAAGAGAACCAGCCAGCCAGUUCGUGUGGCUCGAAGGACGAUCCUUACCUACUCUUUUUCGUCUUUCUUCCUGACUUUACUUUCAUGGGGUAUCCCGUAAGCGGGAACAUUUCGGAUUAUCACCGAUUUCUUCGAUUAUAGGAAAAAGAAAAAAAAAAAGAAGCAAA
Long non-coding RNA from Vespa mandarinia (Asian giant hornet), 513 nucleotides. The record is from RefSeq and is a predicted model, not a curated record. NCBI's taxonomy places the organism in Eukaryota, Metazoa, Arthropoda, Insecta, Hymenoptera, Vespidae.